CCUAUCAUGCAAGUAGAACGCUGAGGACUGGGUGCUUGCACCGGUCCAAGGAGUUGCGAACGGGUGAGUUAACGCGUAGGUAACCUACCUCAUAGCGGGGGAUAACUAUUGGAAACGAUAGCUAAUACCGCAUAAAAGUGUUUAACACAUGUUAACCAUUUAAAAGGUGCAAUUGCAUCACUAUGAGAUGGACCUGCGUUGUAUUAGCUAGUUGGUGAGGUAACGGCUCACCAAGGCGACGAUACAUAGCCGACCUGAGAGGGUGAUCGGCCACACUGGGACUGAGACACGGCCCAGACUCCUACGGGAGGCAGCAGUAGGGAAUCUUCGGCAAUGGACGGAAGUCUGACCGAGCAACGCCGCGUGAGUGAAGAAGGUUUUCGGAUCGUAAAGCUCUGUUGUUAGAGAAGAAUGAUGGUGGGAGUGGAAAAUCCACCAUGUGACGGUAACUAACCAGAAAGGGACGGCUAACUACGUGCCAGCAGCCGCGGUAAUACGUAGGUCCCGAGCGUUGUCCGGAUUUAUUGGGCGUAAAGCGAGCGCAGGCGGUUCUUUAAGUCUGAAGUUAAAGGCAGUGGCUCAACCAUUGUACGCUUUGGAAACUGGAGAACUUGAGUGCAGAAGGGGAGAGUGGAAUUCCAUGUGUAGCGGUGAAAUGCGUAGAUAUAUGGAGGAACACCGGUGGCGAAAGCGGCUCUCUGGUCUGUAACUGACGCUGAGGCUCGAAAGCGUGGGGAGCAAACAGGAUUAGAUACCCUGGUAGUCCACGCCGUAAACGAUGAGUGCUAGGUGUUAGGCCCUUUCCGGGGCUUAGUGCCGGAGCUAACGCAUUAAGCACUCCGCCUGGGGAGUACGACCGCAAGGUUGAAACUCAAAGGAAUUGACGGGGGCCCCGCACAAGCGGUGGA
This 908-nucleotide ribosomal RNA is filed under the name Streptococcus dysgalactiae subsp. equisimilis. Its description in RNAcentral is "bacterial SSU rRNA". It matches the Rfam family "Bacterial small subunit ribosomal RNA", at positions 47 to 936 of the family's 1533-position model. The record is from RNAcentral. Lineage: Bacteria; Bacillati; Bacillota; Bacilli; Lactobacillales; Streptococcaceae.